Molecule: long non-coding RNA, 794 nt
Organism: Dermochelys coriacea (leatherback sea turtle)
Lineage: Eukaryota; Metazoa; Chordata; Testudines; Dermochelyidae
Exons: 4
Source: RefSeq, a predicted model, not a curated record
CUGAGAAGGAUUUAGCACUGGGUGCAGCUUGGGAGGAAAUAGUAUAAGCACCUGGAACCUCCAAGAAUAAACACUGGAAUGAGCUGCUCUUUGAGAGGGGGCAGGAGGUCAGUAAAGGGGUGGGACUACAAGUGACCUGAGUGGUCAGAAAGAGCAAACUGUAUGCUCUGAGUGGCUGUUGAUGGAGGGUACUAGAGUUGAAGACACACUACACCUGGCCAUGAAGGGGUGGUCUAGUUGCUCAGAGAGGUGGGACUGUUCCACAUUUCAGAGAGACAAGUUAUUACAGGAAAACUUGUACUCAAAAUGUGCUGAAAGCAGCAGAGAAGGAAAAAAUCGUCAUGCCUUGAGGAUGAGUACUGGACUAGGACUUUAUUCCUGGCUCUGCAGCUAGCCUUCUGGUGGCCUUGGGCAAAUCACUUCACCUCUCUGUGUCUCAGUUACACCAUGUGUAAAAGGAGAAUGAUACUGACCUUGGUAAAGCGCUGUGGAUGCAAAGCACUAUAUAACAGCUAAGUGCAAUCAUCAAGAAAAGACCUGAGUUGUGCUGCAGAUUCCCUACUGAAUGAGCAUACUUCAUAUUUGGCACAAAAAAGAACUCUGUAUUAAUAGAACUGGCAGAAUACUGCAAAACAACACGAACAUAAAAAUCAGUUUGGACAUACUAGCAUAAAUAUUUAUAGAAAGUGAUUUUGCUUUCCCAGGACACUUGCACCAGAAACCUGAUUCUAAGGCUGUGUCUACUCUGCACUGUCACUGGUAAAACUUUUGUCGGUAAGGGGCGUGGGAAAAAA